AGCGAACGCUAGCGGCAGGCUUAACUCAUGCAAGUCGAGCGCCAGGUUUCGGCCUGGAGCGGCGAACGGGUGAGUAGCACGUAGGUCACGUACCCUAUGGUGGGGAAUACCCCGGGGAAACUCGGAUCAAUGCCCCAUAUGUCCGAAAGGAUGAAAGCGCUUCGGCGCGCCAGAGGAUCGGCCUGCGGCCCAUUAUUUAAUCCUAGUUGGUGAGGUAACGGCUCACCAAGGGUACGAUGGGUAGCUGGUCUGAGAGGACGAUCAGCCACACUGGAGCUGAGACACGGUCCAGACUCCUACGGGAGGCAGCAGUGGGGAAUAUUGGACAAGGGGCGAAAGCCUGAUCCAGCCAUGCCGCGUGAGUGAUGAAGGCCUUCGGGUUGUAAAGCUCUGUCGUGGGGGAAGAAGUUCUGACGGUACCCCACAAGAAAGCACCGGCUAACUCCGUGCCAGCCGCCGCAGUAA
RNAcentral lists this ribosomal RNA (465 nucleotides) under uncultured bacterium. RNAcentral's name for it is "partial 16S ribosomal RNA". It matches the Rfam family "Bacterial small subunit ribosomal RNA", at positions 29 to 523 of the family's 1533-position model. The record is from RNAcentral.